RNAcentral lists this ribosomal RNA (301 nucleotides) under uncultured bacterium. Its description in RNAcentral is "partial 16S ribosomal RNA". It matches the Rfam family "Bacterial small subunit ribosomal RNA", at positions 509 to 807 of the family's 1533-position model. The record is from RNAcentral.
CAGCCGCCGCGGGAAUACGAAGGGGGCUAGCGUUGUUCGGAAUUACUGGGCGUAAAGCGCACGUAGGCGGAUACUUAAGUUAGGGGUGAAAUCCCAGGGCUCAACCCUGGAACUGCCUCUAAUACUGGGUAUCUUGAGUUCGAGAGAGGUAAGUGGAAUUCCGAGUGUAGAGGUGAAAUUCGUAGAUAUUCGGAGGAACACCAGUGGCGAAGGCGGCUUACUGGCUCGAUACUGACGCUGAGGUGUGAAAGCGUGGGGAGCAAACAGGAUUAGAUACCCGCGUAGUCCCUGUCUCUUAUAC